RNAcentral lists this ribosomal RNA (492 nucleotides) under uncultured Sphingobacteriales bacterium. RNAcentral describes it as "bacterial SSU rRNA". It matches the Rfam family "Bacterial small subunit ribosomal RNA", at positions 904 to 1382 of the family's 1533-position model. Lineage: Bacteria; Pseudomonadati; Bacteroidota; Sphingobacteriia; Sphingobacteriales. The record is from RNAcentral.
AGCCCGCUCAGAAACUUAAUGACUUGACGGGGCCCGCACAAGCGGUGGAGCAUGUGGUUUAAUCGAUGAUACGCGAGGAACCUUACCUGGGCUCAAAUGUAUGUUUGACGUAUUCUGAAAGGGAUACUUCUUCGGACAAUAUACAAGGUGCUGCAUGGUUGUCGUCAGCUCGUGCCGUGAGGUGUCGGGUUAAGUCCCAUAACGAGCGCAACCCCUAUCAUUAGUUGCCAUCAGGUCAAGCUGGGGACUCUAAUGAAACUGCCUACGCAAGUAGUGAGGAAGGUGGGGAUGACGUCAAAUCAGCACGGCCCUUACGUCCAGGGCUACACACGUGCUACAAUGGCCGGUACAAAGGGCAGCUACCUGGUGACAGGAUGCUAAUCUCAAAAGCCGGUCUCAGUUCGGAUCGGAGUCUGCAACCCGACUCCGUGAAGCUGGAAUCGCUAGUAAUCGCGCAUCAGCCAUGGCGCGGUGAAUACGUUCCCGGGCCUU